This 578-nucleotide long non-coding RNA is filed under the name Equus caballus (horse). Its description in RNAcentral is "lncRNA (ENSECAG00000050167.1)". The record is from RNAcentral. Lineage: Eukaryota; Metazoa; Chordata; Mammalia; Perissodactyla; Equidae.
CAUUUAUGAGCUGUUCCCACAUGCCAAUCCCCAUUCGAAGUUCUUUUUGUGUAUUCUCUCCUGGAACGUCAGAACCAUUCAUGAGUGCAGGGCACCUUUGAGCGUUGUGUCUGGUCCACUCUACUUGGAGCUCCAUGAAAAGGCGUAUCCCUCCCAUCUGGCCCGUCAGAGGAUCUUAUGCUCCAGGCCCAGUAAUUGGUCUAGGGGUCAUCAGGAUGUUCACUCUACUUCUGCUGUCAAGAAGCCCAAGCGUCCUGUGGAGAGGAGCUGAGGCCCCAGCCCACAGCCUCGACUGAGCUUCCAGCCCACAGCCAGCACCAGGUGGUCAGACACAUGAACGGAUAAACAAGCUGAGGGGAUCCUCACAAUGGAAUACUACACAAGCAGCAAAAAGAGUGAGCUCUUGAGACACACAAAAACUCAGAAGAACCUCAAGGACGUUGUAGUAAGUGAAGGAAGCCAGUCUCAAAGAUGACGUUCUGCGUGACUCCAUGUAUUUGACCUGCUCGAAAAGACAAAAAUGCGUGAUGGAAAAGAGGUCAGUGGUCAUCAGGGUUACGGUGGGGUGAUGGUGUGGC